CCUGGCGGCAGUCUACACAUGCAGUCGAGCGGUAGCACAGGGAGCUUGCUCCUGGGUGACGAGCGGCGGACGGGUGAGUAAUGUCUGGGAAACUGCCUGAUGGAGGGGGAUAACUACUGGAAACGGUAGCUAAUACCGCAUAACGUCGCAAGACCAAAGAGGGGGACCUUCGGGCCUCUUGCCAUCAGAUGUGCCCAGAUGGGAUUAGCUAGUAGGUGGGGUAACGGCUCACCUAGGCGACGAUCCCUAGCUGGUCUGAGAGGAUGACCAGCCACACUGGAACUGAGACACGGUCCAGACUCCUACGGGAGGCAGCAGUGGGGAAUAUUGCACAAUGGGCGCAAGCCUGAUGCAGCCAUGCCGCGUGUAUGAAGAAGGCCUUCGGGUUGUAAAGUACUUUCAGCGGGGAGGAAGGUGUUGAGGUUAAUAACCUCAGCAAUUGACGUUACCCGCAGAAGAAGCACCGGCUAACUCCGUGCCAGCAGCCGCGGUAAUACGGAGGGUGCAAGCGUUAAUCGGAAUUACUGGGCGUAAAGCGCACGCAGGCGGUCUGUCAAGUCGGAUGUGAAAUCCCCGGGCUCAACCUGGGAACUGCAUUCGAAACUGGCAGGCUAGAGUCUUGUAGAGGGGGGUAGAAUUCCAGGUGUAGCGGUGAAAUGCGUAGAGAUCUGGAGGAAUACCGGUGGCGAAGGCGGCCCCCUGGACAAAGACUGGCGCUCAAGUGGGAAAGCGUGGGGAACAAAAAGAUUAGAUCACCUGGUAGUCCCCGCCGCAAAACAUGUCCACAUUUGAAGGUGUGCGCUUGAGAGGCGGCCCUCCCGAGAUAAAACGCUAUAACGCCCACCCUCGAGGAGAACUACCCCGGAGGUGAAAAUCUUAUGAAGUAUUCGGAGGGGGCCCACACACAGGCGGAGGAAGUGGGUGUUUUUAUUUCGAUGCAGCGGGAGAGAACCUUACCCUUGUCGUGGACGUCCAGGAUACUCUAACAAGAAAUGGGAUCGUCCGCCACCGGACAAUCCUGGAAGCGGAGUGGCUGUAGCCUGCUCCCAAGG
RNAcentral lists this ribosomal RNA (1052 nucleotides) under Enterobacter asburiae. Its description in RNAcentral is "bacterial SSU rRNA". It matches the Rfam family "Bacterial small subunit ribosomal RNA", at positions 35 to 1067 of the family's 1533-position model. The record is from RNAcentral. Lineage: Bacteria; Pseudomonadati; Pseudomonadota; Gammaproteobacteria; Enterobacterales; Enterobacteriaceae.